GAGUGUCUUUGAAUCCAUUUCAUCAUUUAGUUCCACGCUAGCAACUCGUUAGCAAAGAGCCGGCAGGACUCUCCGCAUUGUGGCACUUUCCCCAAGCACAAAGAAGUCAAUUUGUCAUCCAGUGAAGAGGUUGAACCUUUAAUUAAAGUGGAGAGCCACCACCCUAGCCACAGCUAGCUCCUCACCCCAACCACCACCGCCGCCACCACCACCACCACCGCCACCAUCGGGGCCCAAGUUAAAUGUCAGCUGAUAAAUAACGACGGUGUGAAGAGGAGCUCCCUUCACUCGGGGUAUAAAGGUCACGCACAUUAGCAGAUUUGUUUCAUGGCCCACAUUGAGAGGAGACAGAUGAGGUGGCUGGGGCAUCUGAUCUGGGUUCCUCCUGGACGCCUCCCUGUCUCCCCUCACUGUUGAACAUUUAUCACACCCGCCUCACCCGUAAGGCCACCAGAAUGGCAGGUGACCCCAUUCACCCAUCCCACUGCCUCUUCAGACUGCUGCCAACAGGGAGGAGACUGCAGAGCCUUUAGGCCAAAACUUGCAGGCUCAAGGACUGUUUCUUCCACCAGGCAGUCAGGAUGCUCAACUCCCUCUCUGCUUUGCCCAAUUACCCAUCCCUGGCACCUACCACCACACACCACCACUGACUCUAAGCCUAUAAAUUCAGCUCAUGCACAAAUCCCACUUUAAGCACUGUAAUCUGUGUACAUUACCCAACUCAUUAUUCUGCUACACUGUGUAUAAAUUAUUUUAUUUUUUAUUUUAGUAUUUUAAUGUAUUGUCCACGACACUCAACCGGGAACAUAUCUGCUCAUCAUGUCAAUACCACAGGUAUGUAUAUAUGGGAAAUGCCUUUCCUUUUGUUAACUUGGACAGAUUGAUCAUAUUGUAUGUAUUGUUUAUAAGGUUUAUAGUAUAAUGCAUAAUACAGAAUGUGUUUUAACCUGAGCAGUAGUUUUAGACAGGACAGUAUGUUUAUUUAUUCAUUUAUUUAUUGAACCGUUUUAGUUAUUUUAUGGGCGGCACGAUGGAGCGAUUGGUUAGACUGUCUACCUCUCAGUUCUGAGGACCGGGGUUCAAAUCCCGGCCACGCCUAUGUGUAGUUUGCAUGUUCUCCCCGUGCCUAUGUGGGUUUUAUCCGGGCACUCCGGUUUGCUUCCAUAUCCCCAAAACAUACAUUAAUUGGAGACUCUAAAUUGUCUUUAGGUGUGAUUGCGAGGGCGACUGGUGACUGGUUUGUUUCUGUGCGCUCUACGAUUGGCUGGCGACCACUCCAGAGUGUACCCUGCCUCCUGCCCAAAGAUUGCUGGAAUAGUAUACAGCACUCACGCGACCUUUGUGAGCAUAGGCGGCUCAGAUAAUGGAUGGAUGGAUGGAUAGUUAUUUGUAUUGCAGAACCGCGGGUCUGAGAGAAAUGCUAUUUCAGGUAUGUUGCACAUACAUAUAUAUGUAUAAAAGAUCUGACAAUAAUGUUACUUCAACUUGAACUUUCAGCUCCCUCCAGCUACUCGUGUCUUGUCCAGGUGUUCGUCGUUCUCUUUUUAGUAUGCUUGUAUUAGCUUCCCGGUUUCUUUCACCCGUCAAUGGAUCAUGGUUGUAUAUUUUCUGUUGCUGUAAGUCGUUUCCCAUGUCAUGAUUUUAGUUUUGGUGAGUUUAUCCUGCUUGUUUCUUUGUUCGUCUGAACCUUGAAUUUUGGACUUUGUUACUUUGUAUUUUUUUGGCCUCCAUGAUACUUGUUUGCCUUUGCCUUGUUUGUGAAAUUAAAUAUCUUGUUGACCUUCUUCCA
Molecule: long non-coding RNA, 1789 nt
Organism: Syngnathoides biaculeatus (alligator pipefish)
Lineage: Eukaryota; Metazoa; Chordata; Actinopteri; Syngnathiformes; Syngnathidae
Exons: 2
Source: RefSeq, a predicted model, not a curated record